ACUGGUGAGUGAUCGCGGUUGAUAAAAACAGAUUCCCGCUUAAUUGGUUGUUUUUAUUUGAAAACGAAAAAAAGAACAAAACAUCCCUCCGACUCCCCCGUUUGAGAUCCAAACGCAACUUUCAAAUUUUUGGCUCGGCUCCGCCAAAACACCUUUCCCAUCCCUCACUUCUUCUGGUCUCAUCUCGUUUGCCAUCUUCAUCUAUGGCUUCUUCAGAUCCUAUCCCUUCCCGUCAUUGCACUUACAACCGCAAGCAAAAAUCCCUCGGCCUUCUCUGCACCAAUUUUUUGAGUUUAUACGAUCGAGGGUCUGUUCAUCUGAUCGGCCUCGACGAUGCUGCCAUCCGAUUAGGCGUUGAGAGGAGGCGGAUCUAUGACAUUGUUAAUGUCCUCGAGAGUAUUGGGUUGCUAUCAAGGAAGGCGAAAAAUCAGUAUAUUUGGAGAGGUUUUGUCGCAAUUCCUCACACUCUUCAGGAGCUCAAGGAAGAGGGGUUGAAGGAUAAUUCCAAUUUCUUGCGUGGUUCUGGAAACGACAACGACAAAGUGUCCGACGACGAAGAUGACGAGGAAACACUGUCUAAUCCCGCUACUGGAAGUCAAAGCGACAAGUUGAACCCUAAUUCUUCUACUCUUACUAAAUCUCUGAAAAAUGAAAAUCGAAGGGAAAAAUCUCUUGCUCUGCUUACCCAGAAUUUUGUUAAGCUCUUUGUCUGCUCUAAUGUGGAGUUGAUCUCCCUUGACGAGGCUGCAAAAUUGUUACUUGGGGAUGCCCAUAAUACUUCUGUAAUGAGAACCAAAGUUAGACGCCUAUAUGACAUCGCAAAUGUGCUAUCCUCCAUGAAUCUUAUUGAGAAGACCCAUACGACAGAUACAAGAAAACCAGCAUUCCGGUGGCUGGGUUCUGAAGGGAAGACAUGGAAUGAGACACUUCACAAAUCAAACCUGAACGAGUCUAGGAAAAGGGCUUUUGGAAGUGAUAUCACAAACAUCAGUUUUGAGAGGAAUAACGUGGAAUUGUUCACGAAUGGCGACUCAAAUCCGAAUCCUAAGAAGCCAAGAAUGGAAUAUGGCAGUGGGCUGGGUCAGGCAGAUGAAAACAAUUUAAAACAAGGCACAAAACAAGCUUCAAAGAACUAUCAAUUUGGUCCUUUCGCUCCGGCUUGUGUGCCCAAAGUUGGAGCCUCUGAGAAUAAUAAUCUGAAGCAGGUGCAUGGCUGGGACAGUCUUGCAACUGCAAAUAGCCCUCAGUAUCAAAAUGAAGCUGAGGGAUAGGUCAGCUUCCUCCAACCGUUAUCCUACGUAAAAAACUGGUUCUUAAACAUACGAACCUCGUAAGAACUGGCGUUGGAGCCUUGAGAGAACUGUACUCGCAUUACAUGGAAGCAUGGAAAUCGUGGUACUCAGAAAUUGCUGGGAAGAGGUCAUUACAAAUUUUGUAAAUGUCUGCCAGUCGAACAUGUUUAGGAAGAUGGAGGAUGAAGGAGAAGGAGGUAGGUGAAUGGCUGGUGCCAUGACGACUCAAAAGGAGAUUCUCAAUUUUUGAUUUUUUUUCUUUAAUUGAAUUUGGUGGUUUCUAAUUAUCAAGGAAUUGUAAUUUUAAGUUUGAAACAAA
Glycine soja is the source of this 1611-nucleotide RNA transcript. It is a transcript of the gene named E2F transcription factor-like E2FE, with no coding region annotated. The transcript has 12 exons. The record is from RefSeq and is a predicted model, not a curated record. Lineage: Eukaryota; Viridiplantae; Streptophyta; Magnoliopsida; Fabales; Fabaceae.